Molecule: non-coding RNA, 946 nt
Filed under: Hemilepidotus jordani (yellow Irish lord)
Lineage: Eukaryota; Metazoa; Chordata; Actinopteri; Perciformes; Cottidae
Also listed under: 1 other name
Description: 12S ribosomal RNA
Rfam family: Bacterial small subunit ribosomal RNA
Source: RNAcentral
CAAAGGCUUGGUCCUGACUUUAUUAUCAACUUUAGCUAGAUUUACACAUGCAAGUAUCCGCACCCCUGUGAGAAUGCCCUACAGUUCCCCGCCCCGGGAACAAGGAGCUGGUAUCAGGCACACCCCAUUGAGCCCACGACGCCUUGCUUAGCCACACCCUCAAGGGAACUCAGCAGUGAUAAACAUUAAGCCAUAAGUGAAAACUUGACUUAGUCAAGGCUAAGAGGGCCGGUAAAACUCGUGCCAGCCACCGCGGUUAUACGAGAGGCCCAAGUUGAUGACCACCGGCGUAAAGCGUGGUUAAGUUAAAACUCACACUAAAGUCAAACAUCUUCAAGACUGUUAUACGUACCCGAAGACAGGAAGUUCAACCACGAAAGUGACUUUAUAUGAUCUGACCCCACGAAAGCUAAGGAACAAACUGGGAUUAGAUACCCCACUAUGCCUAGCCCUAAACAUUGAUAGUACUACACACCCACUAUCCGCCCGGGAACUACGAGCAAUAGCUUAAAACCCAAAGGACUUGGCGGUGCUUUAGAUCCACCUAGAGGAGCCUGUUCUAGAACCGAUACCCCCCGUUCAACCUCACCCUUCCUUGUUUAUCCCGCCUAUAUACCGCCGUCGUCAGCUUACCCUCUGAGGGUCUAAUAGUAAGCAAAACUGGCACAGCCUAAAACGUCAGGUCGAGGUGUAGCGUAUGGAGGGGGAAGAAAUGGGCUACAUUCGCUACAACAGCGAACACGAAAGAUGUGCUGAAACAUCCAUCUGAAGGAGGAUUUAGCAGUAAGCAGGAAAUAGAGCGUCCCGCUGAAACUGGCCCUGAAGCGCGCACACACCGCCCGUCACUCUCCCCAAAACCGCCCACUCAGUUAAUUAAAACCUAAUAAUCAAAAGGGGAGGCAAGUCGUAACAUGGUAAGUGUACCGGAAGGUGCACUUGGAAAAAU